Molecule: ribosomal RNA, 442 nt
Filed under: uncultured bacterium
Lineage: Bacteria
Description: partial 16S ribosomal RNA
Rfam family: Bacterial small subunit ribosomal RNA
Source: RNAcentral
CCUACGUGAGGCAGCAGUGGGGAAUAUUGGGCAAUGGGCGAAAGCCUGAACCAGCAACGCCGCGUGAAGGAAGAAGGCUUUCGGGUUGUAAACUUCUUUUGACAGGGGAGUGAAGAAGACGAUACCUGUGGAAUAAGCCACGGCUAACUACGAGCCAGCAGCCGAGAUAAUACGUAGGUGGCAAGCGUUGACCGGAUUUACUGGGUGUAAAGGGCGUGUAGCCGGGUUGAGAAGUCAGUUGUGAAAGCCGGGGGCUCAACCCUAGAACUGCAUUUGAAACUGUCGGUCUUGAGUAUCGUAGAGGCAGGCGGAAUUCGUGGUGUAGCGGUGAAAUGCUUAGAUAUUACGAGGAACACCAGUGGCGAAGGCGGCCUGCUGGACUUCAACUGACGGUGAGGCGCGAAAGUGUGGGUAGCAAACAGGAUUAGAUACCCGUGUAGUC